UAAUACAUGCAAGUCGAGCGGAGUUUUUAAAAGCUUGCUUUUAAAAACUCAGCGGCGGACGGGUGAGUAACACGUGGGCAACCUGCCCUGUAGACUGGGAUAACUUCGGGAAACCGAAGCUAAUACCGGAUAAUCAUAGAAGUUGCAUAGCUUCUAUGUAAAAGUUGGGUUUACCUAACACUACASGAYSGSCCCGCGUCGCAUUAGCUAGUUGGUAAGGUAACGGCUUACCAAGGCGACGAUGCGUAGCCGACCUGAGAGGGUGAUCGGCCACACUGGGACUGAGACACGGCCCAGACUCCUACGGGAGGCAGCAGUAGGGAAUCUUCCGCAAUGGACGAAAGUCUGACGGAGCAACGCCGCGUGAGCGAUGAAGGCCUUCGGGUCGUAAAGCUCUGUUGUUAGGGAAGAACAAGUACCAUUCAAAUAGGGUGGUACCUUGACGGUACCUAACGAGAAAGCCACGGCUAACUACGUGCCAGCAGCCGCGGUAAUACGUAGGUGGCAAGCGUUGUCCGGAAUUAUUGGGCGUAAAGCGCGCGCAGGCGGUCUCUUAAGUCUGAUGUGAAAGCCCACGGCUCAACCGUGGAGGGUCAUUGGAAACUGGGA
RNAcentral lists this ribosomal RNA (609 nucleotides) under uncultured Anaerobacillus sp. RNAcentral's name for it is "bacterial SSU rRNA". It matches the Rfam family "Bacterial small subunit ribosomal RNA", at positions 49 to 638 of the family's 1533-position model. Lineage: Bacteria; Bacillati; Bacillota; Bacilli; Caryophanales; Bacillaceae. The record is from RNAcentral.